Molecule: long non-coding RNA, 399 nt
Filed under: Elaeis guineensis (African oil palm)
Lineage: Eukaryota; Viridiplantae; Streptophyta; Magnoliopsida; Arecales; Arecaceae
Description: long non-coding RNA (EGUI_LNC018543)
Source: RNAcentral
CUCCCCUCAUGUUUGAUUAAUUUUUUAUCAAUUGUAAAUCCAUCACUUCUUAAGAACUGAAAAUCAAUAUUUCUUCUCAAGGCAACCUUUUUUGCAGAAAGAGGGAUCUUACUUGGGGUUAUGGGAGGAGAGGCUUGAACAGAAACUUGAGCAGUCCUCUUCCUUUUUUCUUCAGCUUCCAAUGGCCUCAUAGACUUCCUUCUUUGGGGUAGCCGUAUCUUAGGGGCCAUUGUCUCAAUGAGAGAAAGAGUACCGGGCAAGAGAAUAGUGGAGGGUGAAAGAUAGAUGGAAAUGAAGAGGAGUAAGGGAUUUUGAGGAGUUUGUUUUGGAUUUUUGAUAUGAGGGUUUAAGGAUUUGAUGGAGAGCAAGAAAAAGAGGACUUUGAUCAAGAAUAGGCCG